This 235-nucleotide ribosomal RNA is filed under the name uncultured bacterium. Its description in RNAcentral is "partial 16S ribosomal RNA". It matches the Rfam family "Bacterial small subunit ribosomal RNA", at positions 335 to 563 of the family's 1533-position model. The record is from RNAcentral.
CACCUACGGGACGCAGCAGUAGGGAAUCUUCCACAAUGGACGAAAGUCUGAUGGAGCAACGCCGCGUGAGUGAAGAAGGGUUUCGGCUCGUAAAGCUCUGUUGGUAGUGAAGAAAGAUAGAGGGAGUAACUUGCCUUUAUUUGACGGUAAUUACUUAGAAAGUCACGGCUAACUACGUGCCAGCGGCCGCGGUAAUACGUAGGGGGGAAGCGUUGUCCGGUUUUUUUGGGCGUAA